Ornithorhynchus anatinus (platypus) is the source of this 138-nucleotide small nucleolar RNA. NCBI's taxonomy places the organism in Eukaryota, Metazoa, Chordata, Mammalia, Monotremata, Ornithorhynchidae. The record is from RefSeq and is a predicted model, not a curated record.
UCCGUCUCAGGGUCGCAUCUGGAGAGUUUCCAGUCCUCUACCAGUCUCGGCUUUGGGAGGGAGAAUCAAGCAGAGGCCUUCCCAUUCCAUUCUUAGCUUGGGCGGUGGCUAGCGAGUGGAAGGCAAUAUGCUACAAGU